CACAGCCCACACCGAUUCCUCCGCUCCACGACUCCCCUCGACGCAAUCACGCCGCCGCCACCGCCGCCGCCUCAUCUCCCCAUCCCAGCCCCAUCCUCCCUCUCUAUGGCCUCAUCUCCUUCCCCUUUCUCUUCUCAAUCCAGAUUCAUGGAGGUGGGCGGCAGGGACGCCAUCGACCGCGAGUCCGCGACGCUAGGGUUCCUAGCCGCUGCCACACGCACAGCCGGCCGGAGCCACCUCCGCUCCGUCAGCCAUCGAUCCUCCUCUCCACCAUUGCCUGGAGCUGCUCUGCCCAUCUCUGCCUCGCCCCGAGCAGGACUCGGCCCGCCCAACAACCCCCUUCACGCCAGCCGUCCUAUGGCGGGGGCAAGGGAGUGGAGUAAGGGCUGGCCGCUGUGAUCUGGCGGCUUCGCCGUCCUCUGCGACAAGUACGGGAUACUGAUCUAUUAUUAUGCAUCACAACUACAUGAAUGAAUGAAAGCAAAAUAUUCUUUCAAGAGCAAAUGGCACUUCUGUUUCAUCUUGUGAAACCAACCAUUACAGUGUUGAUGAAGAAACCAACUGAUCUGCUGAUUUUAUCAACAAAUAAGGUAGCGUAUCUUCUAAUUCGUGUUUUAUUCUCCAAGUUUGUUCCAUUCAAUUCUUUACCUUACUGUUUCAGGUUUCAAACAACACUUAUGGUUGUUCGGAUGAAAAGAAUGGCAACUAUGAUUUUACUUACCCUCUAAAUAAUAUGCUACAACAACCCAAUAAUCGUGCUCCUGAAACAAGAAGCCACAAGCAAGCAUCACAGUUUAUAAACCCGACAUGGGUGUCUAUUUAACUUCCGAUAUGAUGAAUUCUUGUGUGGGGACAUAUCCAUUAUGUCGCAACAGCGUCACUUCAGAGGAGCAAAUCAUCUGGUUCUUAUUUUGGAAAGUUAUAUGGUCAACCGAUGCAUAUUUUUUGAACUUUGAAUUUAUUAACAGAUACUAAUGCCACUUCCGGCAAAUCGUGUUUAUACUUGAUUGUGCAUUUGUGCUCGUUGAAUCUGUUUUGGCAAAGAAUAAUUUAGGGAAUAUUGCAACUGUGUAUGUGAACUUAUGAAGUAAUAUGCACGUGCAGGUGUGUGUGUUGAAUGUUUGCUGUUAAACAAUGAUCAAACUAACUUUCAUAUCUUUUUCAUAUGAAUAGGCUAGAAUGUUGGAAGAUGUGGUUGGCUGGUACCACUCACAUCUGGGUUACGCAUGCUGCCUGAACGCCAUUGAUGUUUCAACUCAGAUGCUUAAUCAGCAGUUUACAGAACUAUUCUUGGCUUUGUGAUUGACCCUACAAAGACUGUUUCUGCUGGUAAAGUGGACAUUGGAGCUUUUAGCUAGGACAUACCCGAAAGAUUACAAGCCACCAGAUGAGCCUGUGAAGUAUCAGCCAAUACCACUCAACAAGACAUAAGAUUUUGGUGUUCACUGCAAACUGGUAACGCGACCAAUGCAAUUCUCUUAUUUAUGUAUUCUUUUUUGUUCAAAACGCUUGGUUUAGUUUUGUUCUAACUGUAUUUUCAUGCAGUACUAUUCUUUGGAUAUAACCUAUUUCAAGUCGUCCAUGGCUUCUCACCUCGUUGAUCUACUCAUUAUUGAUCAUAAGUAGAAAAGUAUUCCAUCGGUUUCUACAACAUUACUUGGUGGCGCGCUUGGUCUGUUUAAAACUUUACUGCUUGUUUUCUAUGCAAAACAUAUCUUAGACUUCAUGGGUGGGAAAGCGGUAGAUGUUACUUCAGGCCCUUUUUUGCUUUUGAUAGUGCAGACUACUUUAUUUCAGCACAAACAUUAGUUAUUAACAUCAGCUUUUCCCAUGUAUUUCAAAACUAAUUGAUUUCUUCAUAAAAAGCGGAUAAUUUAGGCUCUUCGGUUAUUAAGUUGCUUCUUUUUUUGCCAACAGUUGUAAGUUAACUUACUAAUAAUUGGGUGUGGGCAUAUCUUAGAUUUUUCUUCCUUACUCGUCCCUUCUUUCUCCCUCUUCCAUUCCCCCUUCCUCCACCUUUGAGGCCCUGAGUUGUGAAGGGCACGAAACCCUGGCGGCAGUGGCGGAUUGAUGCGGGGGAUGAUGGUUGCAUCACUGAAUUUGCUUUAUUGUGUUGUUGUUUCAGAUGAGGAUGAGGCCCUGAGCUUAUGCUUUUCAUGGGCACAAAGAUGAGGUCUUUGCUGCUGCGUGCAGUCCUGUAGAUACAUCACUUGACAUUUCUGGAGGUAAAGAUGGCAGAGGGUUCCUUUGGAGGAUCAGAUCGCCACAGGAUUUUCAGGAGCUGACUAAUAUGAUUACCUCAUCUUCCUAUUUUUAUUUGUGAUAUCUAUAGCUAUAAAAGUAUAUUUGAUAUCUUUAGCAAGUUUUUUUCGUCAUUUUUGUGGGCAGGGCCUUAUUUUUCUUUUUGGCUUUUCAUUUAUAUGUACCUUAAUGUGUUGAUGAGUGCCUAGAAUUGCCUGCCAAGCUUAUCUUUUUUCGGCGUGUUGGAGCGGUUCUAGAUCUCGUUUUGUUCCGGGCCGGGUUUCAGUGAAUGGAUUCUUCUACUGUUUAUUUUCAUUGGCUGAACGUACGCAGGGAUUAAAUGGAUGUGUGUGAGAGUUGUGUCUGUGUUCCAUUGUUGUUGAUGUAGUAGCUUUCAAUUCGCAGGCAUGUCACCGUUGGCAAGUGCAAGAAGAAAGCCCCGAGAAAAAUGCACAAAGCCAAGAGGGAGAAGCAUUAGCACGACCUGCUCAAUGAUCUCUUCGGUGUACUUUUCAAAAUGCUAGGUGAGUUAAAUAGGUGUGCAUCAUGUUAAACAUCCAAUAUUAUGGGCCGCCAAGAGUUAUUCUUGGGCGCCACUUCUAGGAGAUAGAGAUAGUUUUUCUUUUCUGUUUAAGUUACAUCUAUCUCUAUUCCCAAUCUUCUGUAAACUCUUCCGGUUAGUCCUCUAACUGUACGCAUGUGUAAUCUCCUCGAGAGGUUUUCUCUCGCUAUCAAUAUAUAAG
Molecule: long non-coding RNA, 2984 nt
Organism: Triticum aestivum (bread wheat)
Lineage: Eukaryota; Viridiplantae; Streptophyta; Magnoliopsida; Poales; Poaceae
Exons: 3
Source: RefSeq, a predicted model, not a curated record